Molecule: long non-coding RNA, 243 nt
Filed under: Mytilus galloprovincialis (Mediterranean mussel)
Lineage: Eukaryota; Metazoa; Mollusca; Bivalvia; Mytilida; Mytilidae
Source: RNAcentral
ACAAUGGUUGUUUACAAGUUAGUUCCUUAAACUAUAAUUAUUCAAAUGCUGUAGUGAAGUUGAAAAGAAAAGUUUCAGAAAGGUCCUGUAAUAGGGCUACUAGGCUUGGAUGAAGGCGGAAAAUUUGAAAUAUCACUGAAAAUGGAGAUCAAUUAGAUAAGGACAGAAAUUUCAACUGGUCAACUAGGGUGCCCCUAAAAAAAUUAACGCAAUCGUUCUUUAGCAAAAUAAUGGCGUAACCAG